Molecule: ribosomal RNA, 378 nt
Filed under: uncultured organism
Description: partial 16S ribosomal RNA
Rfam family: Bacterial small subunit ribosomal RNA
Source: RNAcentral
AGAGGGGGGGCAAGCGUUGUUCGGAUUGACUGGGCGUAAAGGGCGCGUAGGCGGGAUGUGUAAGUUGGGGGGGGGUGAAAGGGCCUGGGGCUCAACCUGGGAAUUGCCUCCAAAACUACACGUCUUGAGUUCGGAAGAGGAUGGCGGAAUUCCCAGUGUAGAGGUGAAAUUCGUAGAUAUUGGGAAGAACACCAGUGGCGAAGGCGGCCAUCUGGUCCGACACUGACGCUGAGGCGCGAAAGCGUGGGGAGCAAACAGGAUUAGAUACCCUGGUAGUCCACGCCGUAAACGAUGUGUGCUAGCCGUUGGGGCUUUUGAGCUUCAGUGGCGCAGCUAACGCGAUAAGCACACCGCCUGGGGAGUACGGUCGCAAGAUUA